Non-coding RNA from Mycena belliarum, 92 nucleotides. Lineage: Eukaryota; Fungi; Basidiomycota; Agaricomycetes; Agaricales; Mycenaceae. The record is from the annotation of a GenBank genome assembly.
GCGCCGGUGGUGUAUCGGUAACAUUGGGUCUUCCCACUCGGUUUCUGGCCGGUCACGUGGCCUAGCACCGGGUUCGACUCCCGGCCGGCGCA